This is a long non-coding RNA of Papaver somniferum (opium poppy), 2930 nucleotides long. RefSeq lists it as uncharacterized. The record is from RefSeq and is a predicted model, not a curated record. The transcript is spliced from 4 exons. Lineage: Eukaryota; Viridiplantae; Streptophyta; Magnoliopsida; Ranunculales; Papaveraceae.
CCUAAAUGUCAAACCCUGAACCCCAAUUUUUCAUAUCAUAUUUCCUCAUCUGUAAAUUGGGUGUUUAAUUUGUGAUCAGUUGAGUUUCAGAGUUGUGAGGUUAAUUGAGGAAAAAGACGAGGAACAUGUCAAGCAUUCCAGAAGAGAUUUACCUCCAAAUCUUGUUAAGAGUAUCAGUGAAAUCAACAUUCGUAUGUAAGCGUGUUUGUAAAACUUGGUUUUCGUUGAUUUCUGAUCUGGGUUUUGCUAAUAUGCAUCUUGAUUUUACUCCCUAUAGAAAUAUCUCUGAGAAUCUAAUGGCAACUGGUCUUUUAUAUGAUUUUAUUGUAAUCCACUCUAUAAAAUACGAUUCAUUACAACCAUCUUUGUGGGAGAAGAGUGAAUUCACUGAAAUGUCUUACCCGUAUGAAGCACUUUAUAAAAUUAGAUUAUUAGGUUCUUGUAACGGUCUGGUUUGCCUUGUGUAUACUGGUCGUGGUGAGGAAUUUUUCUUUUGUGUUUGGAACCCAGCCACACGCGGAUACAAGAAGAUAAACAAACCAGAAGAUAAAUUUCGUAUCUGGGAUACCAGAAUGUAUGCUUUUGGUUAUGAUUUCAAGAAUGACGAUUACAAAUUGGUAUUAGGUGUAGGUAACAAUGAAACUGGUACUGCAGUCCAUGUCUACACAUUAAAAUCUGAUUCAUGGAAAUGCACUAUCACCAUACAGUAUUAUUUUUUUUUCUCCUCGGAAAUCUGGUGUACUUGUUAAUGGAGAUUUUCAUUUCCUUGCUGCCGAUAGAGGGGAAGGGGCGUGCUUAUAGUUUCAUUGGAUAUCAGUGCGGAAAGAUUCAAAGAAGUGGCAAGGUGACUGAAACUUGGGAUAUUGCUACUGAAGCAGUGUUGCAAGGUUGCCUAUGUGUGCUCCUCCCACCCAAACCUAAUAGUGUUGCUGAUGAUUAUUAUCCUGGUCAUGUUGAACUAUGGGUUAUGCAAGAUUAUGGUGUUCGUGAAUCUUGGACUAAGCGUUAUAUCAUUACCCAUGAAUUAAUAACUGGGCAUAGGGACUAUUUUUUUAGGUUUAUAUCAUCUUCCAAGAAUGGUGAGAUUCUAUUAAUGGUGGAGGGUAAGUUAGUUUUAUAUGACCUAAAAGAUGGAAGUGCUAUCAGCCGAGAUAUGGGUAGUAGAACCGUUAGUACCGAGGUGAAUUAUAUUGAAAGCUUAGUUUCCGUUAACUCUGUUACUUAUGUGGGGGAAGGACAGAUAGAGGAAUCAAUUGAAACAGAAGUAGCCUAAGAAGAAAAACAUGAGAAUGUGUUCUUACGGUAAGAUAUAAUUCACGCUUUAUAUUUCCAGUGUUCAUUUCUAGUUUUAGAAACUAUAGGUAUUAGGUAUGUAGCUUGUAAUGGGUAUGAAAAUUGUGUUUUGUAUCCAAUGUCUUAAGUAGUUAGUAUCCAUACACAGAAAUUCUGGUUAAUUUCUGAACUUAAUGACUCGGGUUCUGUGAUUGCAGUUUUAGUUCUCACUGUUAACGUCAUCCUGUGAACUGUUCUAUAGUUACCAAGUAAUAAGGAAUGAUACACUUUUCUCUUUUUCUAGUACUAACUAGGAGACUUUGGUUAGGCAUAAUGUAUUACACGACCAAAUUCAUGAUUUCAACAGCCAAGAACUGAACCUCCAAGUCUUUCUCUGACCAGUCGUUUAUCAGGAUUUAUCUCCAUGGUCUUCUUGUUAGACAUGUGAGAACUCAUGUUGCUUCCCCUCAAAGGUUGUGCUUGUGCUCUCAUAAUUCUCUCCAUGCUGUCGGUCCUUGCCCCCUUUUUUUUACUCACCAAGCAACAAGGAGAAUAAGUAUUUUUGACAGCAACGGCAACCAUCUCAACUUAUCAGCAAAUCUGAAGUGUCCAUGUUUGUGAACUGUAGAGGGAAAGAAUCCUCUCGGUGGCGAAGUAGAGCAUAGGAACAGAGUGAAGCAAUAGAUCAGGUAUCAGCUGACAAAACUAUGAAAACACCUGAGGAAGAAGCCAUUAUGGGUUCAGAGAGACAAGGAAUGUGACAAAAACUUUGAUUAGGAUGCCUCAGUAAACCCAUUAUCAGCCGAAGUGUGAGUUAAGAAGACGGUAAAUUUCCCAAACUUCAAAAUGAUUCCGACAGCUCCAAGGUAACUUCAAGUAUGGAAAUUUACUGGAAGAGCUCGGGGCACGAAGAAUCCAUCAUCAUUGCAACUACGAUUUUUCCUCUCAAGAAGCAGCGAAAUUUGAUUUUUUUGAGUUGGGAUGGUGCUACUAUUUUGGGUCGAUACGAGUGUUCUGUCCACUGUGUUUGUUAUUCCACAUAAAUUACUUUGGAUGAUCCAGCAUCUGUGGCAGAGCUUAUGGAUGCUAGUGAAGGAUGUAUCGGAAGUGCCUUGAAAUGGGUUUAUAAGCUCUGCACCUGCAAGUUUAGCGAAGAUCUGAAUCAUGACAAGUUUAGCUUAGCUAGGGAAGCUGUGUAAUAAUUCGGGUGGAAGAGGAAAUCUGCGAUGCUGCAAGCUAUUUUUGCAUAUGACUAACUAGGUUGAACCAGUUUGGUCAGGAACUAUGAAGAAAUUGGUUGAUGAUGUAUUUAUGUUCAUAGAAUGAACCUGUUGAUAGCAGCAGAGAGUUGGAAAAGUCUGGGAUCUGAUUCCGGAAGAAUUUGUUUGGGAAGGGGCGUAAACACAAGUUGUGGAUGAGAGUUAUGGGUCUGGCAGGAGGAGUUCAGAUCAGCCACAAUUGUAUGGUUUUUGUUGCUGUUUUCACUGUUUUUUUUUACAAGUUUCGUCCUGACUCCAGAAGUUGACACUGAUUCAUUUUAUACUGACAAUCAUGAAACUUGGAUCUUCCACUGCAUUAGUGGUUCCUUUGGUUGUUGUGUCUUCUGUGCUUAGAAGUGACUUUAAGUGAGCAGAAUUGUGAAACUUUUUGUUUUCUUA